RNAcentral lists this long non-coding RNA (1405 nucleotides) under Homo sapiens (human). RNAcentral's name for it is "HSALNT0297364". Lineage: Eukaryota; Metazoa; Chordata; Mammalia; Primates; Hominidae. The record is from RNAcentral.
CAAGCAGCAGGAUCUGGUGAUCCACUGGACGUGGUGGGGGGUGGCAGGGAGAAGAUCUACUGCAAGAGAGGAAGGGUCACAGCUGGCUCCUAGGAUUCUGGCUAGGGUUUCUGGGUGGGUGGUGGUGGUAAUCAACUGAGAUAGAGAAUGUAGGAGCGGGAGCAGGUUUUUGAAGAAAGACACUGAGCUCAGUUUCUCUUUGAAGUGUUGGUGCUUUGUCACUUAGUAUCUGGCAUAUGGGAUUGAAGCUUAGGAAAACGGUUCUUGCUGGAGAUAUAAAUUUGAACUCAUCAGCUAUGGGUGGCAAUUGAAGCCAUAUGCAUCAGAGUACUUUGGACCGCAAGUAAUUGCAGAAAUACAACCCAAAAAACAGAAGAGAUUUAUCAGCUCAGAAAAAUUAAAGGGCACCAGAGGUAAGGUGGUGGUCAGUCUUAUUUCACUUGGGGCUCCAGCCUUGCUUUUCUGAUGUCCUCUGGCCUCUGCAUGCCUUCUCUGUGUUGCCUUCUCCUCUGACUGGGGGCUGAUGGUUCCAUUAGCUCCACGCCUCAUCAAUGGGUGCAUUCAACAAUGCCCCCCAGAAAAGAGACCAUAUUUUGAAAUGUCUCUCUUAAAAGAACAAUGCACAGAAGCCUUUUCCAGGACACUGACCAUGGGUCCCAUGCCCAUUUCUGAAUCAAUUUACUGGGUCAACAGAUCACUGCGGUUCCUGAACCUGUCACUGGCAAAGAAGACAAAUUAGCCUAAGACCAGGCCCACCUCCCAAGCUCUGGGUGGGCCCACUGUUCUAGGCACAUGAGGGAGAGAUGGACGGUUGAAUGAGAACUGACAUUCUGUCAGGAAAAGGAAAAAGAUAGCUAACUCACAAGGCACACCAUACUGUGGAAGUGGAUGAGCUUCCCAAAGACACCGUGAAGCAUGAGAAGAAAAGAAGGGCUAGGACUGAAUCCAGAAAAGAGUCAAGCUUCAGGGGUGUUUGAAAAAAGAUUCUUGGGUCAUUUGGAAAAUGCACCUUAACUUUUGUUUGACUCUCUGGUUAUAUCAAGCAGGGUUAUUUUGCAUGCUACAGAGUGGGUUGAGAAAAUCAACACAGGGGCUGGGUGAGGUGGCUCACGUCCAUAAUUCUAGCACUUUGGGAGGUUGAAGCAGGAGGAUUGCUUGAGCCCAGGAGUUGGAGACCAGCCUGGGCAACAUAGGAAGACUGCUUUUCUACAGAAAAUUUAAAAAAUUAGCUGGUUGUGGUGGUGCAUGCCUGUGGUCUCAUCUACUUGGGAAGCUGAGGUGGGAGGAUUCCUUGAGCCCAGGAGUUUGAGGCUUCAGUGAGCCACUGCACUCUAGCAUGGGUGACAAAGCAAGAUCCUGUCUCAGAAAAAAAAAAAAAGAAAAAGAAAAAGGAAAAGAAAGAAAA